AGUGAACGCUGGCGGUAGGCCUAACACAUGCAAGUCGAACGGCAGCACAGUAAGAGCUUGCUCUUACGGGUGGCGAGUGGCGGACGGGUGAGGAAUACAUCGGAAUCUACUUUUUCGUGGGGGAUAACGUAGGGAAACUUACGCUAAUACCGCAUACGACCUACGGGUGAAAGCAGGGGAUCUUCGGACCUUGCGCGAUUGAAUGAGCCGAUGUCGGAUUAGCUAGUUGGCGGGGUAAAGGCCCACCAAGGCGACGAUCCGUAGCUGGUCUGAGAGGAUGAUCAGCCACACUGGAACUGAGACACGGUCCAGACUCCUACGGGAGGCAGCAGUGGGGAAUAUUGGGCAAUGGGCGCAAGCCUGAUCCAGCAAUACCGCGUGGGUGAAGAAGGUCUUCGGGUUGUAAAGCCCUGUUGUUGGGAAAGAAAAGCAGCAGGUUAAUACCCCGCUGUUCUGACGGUACCCAAAGAAUAAGCACCGGCUAACUUCGUG
This 492-nucleotide ribosomal RNA is filed under the name uncultured bacterium. RNAcentral describes it as "partial 16S ribosomal RNA". It matches the Rfam family "Bacterial small subunit ribosomal RNA", at positions 29 to 507 of the family's 1533-position model. The record is from RNAcentral.